This 465-nucleotide ribosomal RNA is filed under the name Vreelandella stevensii. RNAcentral describes it as "partial 16S ribosomal RNA". It matches the Rfam family "Bacterial small subunit ribosomal RNA", at positions 338 to 795 of the family's 1533-position model. The record is from RNAcentral. Lineage: Bacteria; Pseudomonadati; Pseudomonadota; Gammaproteobacteria; Oceanospirillales; Halomonadaceae.
CCUACGGGUGGCAGCAGUGGGGAAUAUUGGACAAUGGGGGCAACCCUGAUCCAGCCAUGCCGCGUGUGUGAAGAAGGCCCGCGGGUUGUAAAGCACUUUCAGUGAGGAAGAACGCCUGGUGGUUAAUACCCAUCAGCAAAGACAUCACUCACAGAAGAAGCACCGGCUAACUCCGUGCCAGCAGCCGCGGUAAUACGGAGGGUGCGAGCGUUAAUCGGAAUUACUGGGCGUAAAGCGCGCGUAGGUGGCUUGAUAAGCCGGUUGUGAAAGCCCCGGGCUCAACCUGGGAACGGCAUCCGGAACUGUCAAGCUAGAGUGCAGGAGAGGAAGGUAGAAUUCCCGGUGUAGCGGUGAAAUGCGUAGAGAUCGGGAGGAAUACCAGUGGCGAAGGCGGCCUUCUGGACUGACACUGACACUGAGGUGCGAAAGCGUGGGUAGCAAACAGGAUUAGAUACCCGUGUAGUC